Molecule: long non-coding RNA, 223 nt
Filed under: Brassica napus (rape)
Lineage: Eukaryota; Viridiplantae; Streptophyta; Magnoliopsida; Brassicales; Brassicaceae
Description: long non-coding RNA (BNAP_LNC025363)
Source: RNAcentral
GACAGAGACAGUUUAAUAUUGGACUGUACAAUUUGGGACGAAGAUCGUUUACAGUCAUAUAACUUGGGAAGAUGAUAUUAGUUUAUUUUGUUAUAGAGUAAAACUUGUGAGACGUUUAUGUAGUGUUUCAAUGUAUAGAUGUCGACAUUAUUAGUAAUAACAUAACUAAUGAUAUGAAAAUUAAAUGUGAACAAUUUCUAAUAGAUAGUCCAAAAUGAAAUAU